ACAUGUCCUUUUGAUUAUAAUUUAAGGUCUAGCCUGCCCAAUGAUGUAGAGUUAAAUGGCCGCGGUAUUUUGACCGUGCAAAGGUAGCAUAAUCAUUAGUUUUUUAAUUGAAAGCUGGUAUGAAAGGUUGGAUGAGAAAAUUACUGUCUCUAUUUAAGUUUUAUAGAAUUUUAUUUUUAAGUUAAAAAGCUUAAAUUUUUAUUGAAGACGAGAAGACCCUAUAGAGUUUUAUACUUAUUUUAAAUUAAAAAUUUUAGUAUAAAGUUUUUUUAUUUUAGGGUAAGUAUUUGGUUGGGGUGAUUGAAAAAUUGAGUAAACUUUUUUUUAAAAAAAAUCAUUGAUUUAUGAAUAUAUGAUCCUUAUUUAAAGAUUAAAAGAUUAAAUUACCUUAGGGAUAACAGCGUAAUUUUUUUUUAGAGUUCUAAUCGAAAAAAAAGGUUGCGACCUCGAUGUUGGAUUAAAAUUUAUUUUUGGUGUAGAAGCUAAAAUAUUAGGUCUGUUCGACCUUUAAAAUUUUACAUGAUCUGAGUUUAAACCGGU
RNAcentral lists this ribosomal RNA (540 nucleotides) under Curculio glandium. RNAcentral describes it as "partial 16S ribosomal RNA". It matches the Rfam family "Bacterial large subunit ribosomal RNA", at positions 1815 to 2620 of the family's 2925-position model. Lineage: Eukaryota; Metazoa; Arthropoda; Insecta; Coleoptera; Curculionidae. The record is from RNAcentral.